CCCUUAGAUGUUCUGGGCCGCACGCGCGCUACACUGAUGCAUUCAACGAGUUUCUUCCUGGUCCGAGAGGAAUGGGUAACCUUUUGAAAGUGCAUCGUGAUAGGGAUAGACUAUUGCAAUUAUUGGUCUUCAACGAGGAAUUCCUAGUAGACGUAGUUCAUCAGACUGCAUCGAUUACGUCCCUGCCCUUUGUACACACCGCCCGUCGCUCCUACCGAUUGAAUGCUCAGGUGAGCCAUUCGGACUUUCAUCAUGCUGGUUUCCAGUUUUGAUGAAGGAAAGUCUUGCGAACCUUAUCAUUUAGAGGAAGGAGAAGUCGUAGCA
This 324-nucleotide ribosomal RNA is filed under the name uncultured eukaryote. Its description in RNAcentral is "partial 18S ribosomal RNA". It matches the Rfam family "Eukaryotic small subunit ribosomal RNA", at positions 1470 to 1796 of the family's 1831-position model. The record is from RNAcentral.